This 2503-nucleotide small RNA is filed under the name Pan troglodytes (chimpanzee). RNAcentral's name for it is "retained intron". Lineage: Eukaryota; Metazoa; Chordata; Mammalia; Primates; Hominidae. The record is from RNAcentral.
UCUUGUUGCCCAGGGUGGAGUGCAAUGGCAUGAUCUGGGCUCGCUGCAACCUCUGUCUCCCUAGUUCAAGCAAUUCUCCUGCCUCAGCCUCCCAGGUAGCUGAGAUUACAGGCAUGCGCCACCACGCCCAGCUAAUUUUUUGCAUUUUUAGUAGAGACGGAAUUUCACCAUGUUGGCCAGGCUGGUCUCAAACUCCUGACCUCAGGUGAUUGACCCGCUUCAACCUCCCAAAGUGCUGGGAUUACAGGUGUGAGCCACUGCACUGGGCCAAGAAUAAGAUUUUUAAAAACAUUUUCGCAUCUGGAGGCUCCAGGGGGCUUCCCUGAGAAACGGCAGCCUCUGCGGUCAGAGAGGCUGCAAUUCAGAGCGUUCCCACAAACAGCACCAUGUGCUCAUGCUUACCUGCUUGGGUGUGUGAGUCACCUGGAGAUGGGGUGCAGAAACAUUGACAUACCUGAGCUAUCUUUCUUCCUCUGCCCUUUGCAGGUGUUUGAUGUACAGAGGAAAGUCACCUAUAGGAACCUGAGCACCUGGUAUACAGAGCUUCGGGAGUUCAGGCCAGAGAUCCCAUGCAUCGUGGUGGCCAAUAAAAUUGAUGGUGGGGCCAUCCCUGCACCUGGGUGUUAGCAAUUCACUGGGGACCUGCCCUCAUACAUUUCCUCCUCCAUUCCCCGGGCAGGCAACCUUCAGUGAUUGGUCCUCCCUCCCACGAUAAGAUACAACCCUUGGUUGCUUGCAUUCUUCCCACCUUAUAAAGAAGCCAGCUAAGCCGACCUGCCCUCUUUCCAAGACACAGAUCCCUAUUAACUGAGCUCUUUCUAGGACAUGUUUCCCAAUCAUCCCUGCCUAUCCCGCUUUCUGGAAUGAAGGCCUCCAGUGGCCCCCCCUCCAAACCUUCUUCCCUUCCCUUGACAGACAGACCAAUGUCCUACCUUCUCUCUACAGCAGACAUAAACGUGACCCAAAAAAGUUUCAAUUUUGCCAAGAAGUUCUCCCUGCCCCUGUAUUUCGUCUCGGCUGCUGAUGGUACCAAUGUUGUGAAGCUCUUCAAUGAUGCAAUUCGAUUAGCUGUGUCUUACAAACAGAACUCCCAGGACUUCAUGGAUGAGAUUUUUCAGGAGCUCGAGAACUUCAACUUGGAGCAGGAAGAGGAGGACGUGCCAGACCAGGAACAGAGCAGCAGCAUCGAGACCCCAUCAGAGGAGGCGGCCUCUCCCCACAGCUGAGGGGCUGGGGCUAGGGGUGGGUGGAGCCCUUUUAAAAUACCCUUCCCUUCAACAACUCUCCAGCUCUGAAUGGAGAAACUCUCUAGGCCAUCCCCUCUUCUACCUCCUGCAACCCACCCAUCCUAUUAGCCUCCCACAUUCAAGGCCCGUGAUACAGGGAUGAGGUCAGCACCAGCAAACUCUGGCCUGGUGGAAGAAUUCCCCACCAGAUCUCCUUGAAGCAGAAUUAGGGAUCAGCAUCAUUAACACCUUCCCCACCCCCUCCCCCCAGGCAGACAGUGAAGAGAAUCAGAAAACAUGAUUAUGUGUCACUUUAAUACAGGAAAUGUAGGUGUUUUUUGGUGUUUUUGUUUUUGUUUUUGUUUCCUUUCCAAAGCUCACCUCGGGGACAAUUCCCUGUGCUUCUGCUGAGGUAAUGAUUACCCGCCCCCCCACCCACAGCUGAGUCUGUGAGGCCCCAUCCUUUCCCUACGUUUUCUCCCAUCUUUUUUCCUCUUCAGUCUCCCAGUCAUCUGGUUUGUUUGUUUCUUUGUUCGUUCUGAGACGGAGUCUCGCUCUGUCACCAGGCUGGAGUGCAGUGGCGCAGUCUCGGCUCGCUGCAACCUCUGACUCCCUGGUUCAAACGAUUCUCCUGCCUCAGCCUCCCGAGUGGCUGGCAUCACCACGCCCAGCUAAUUUUUGUAUUUUUAGUAGAGAUGGGGUUUCACCAUGUUGCCCAGGAUGGUCUCGAUCUCCUCACCUCGUGAUCCGCCCGCCUCGGCCUCCCAAAGUGCUGGGAUUACAGGCAUGAGCCACCGCGCCCGGCCCCAAUCAUCUGUUUUUAAACAAUCGUUUUUGAGCAGAUAGCUAUUCAUUCCAGAUUUCUGUGUACCCACUCUGUUUCAGGAGCUCUUCUAGGUAAAGCUGAGAUCACAGGAACAGCAGGUGACAGGCCUAGCUAUAGUUAGGAAUACACAAGCGGUAAAAUCGAGUCCUUACAGCCAUACCACAAGGUACGUCCAUUUGGACUACAAGAAGAGCUUCCUUUAAAGUUCCUAUUUCAGCAUAAGGAGGCUGUCCUUUUUUUUUUUUUUUGAGGAAUAGUUUGGACCUUGUGCCUCCUGUGGGAGGCUGAGGACUGCAAGAGGAGAGCUAGCAGAUAUGCCUGUUCACCCCUCUCUGGUACUUGUGGCUUGCUAGUAUGUUUUUAUGAUAAUCUCGGGCAUUGUUUGCAUUGUGUUUAUUAAUAGGGUUUUGUUUUUAUUGUUUCCUUUUUUACAGUAAAGGCUGAAUUACAU